GACGAACGCUGGCGGCGUGCUUAACACAUGCAAGUCGAACGAUGAAGCUGGAGCUUGCUCCGGUGGAUUAGUGGCGAACGGGUGAGUAACACGUGAGCAUUCUGCCCUUGACUCUGGGAUAACUGCAGGAAACUGUAGCUAAUACCGGAUAUGAGGCUCGAAGGCAUCUUCGGGUCUGGAAAGAAUUUCGGUCAAGGAUGAGCUCGCGGCCUAUCAGCUUGUUGGUGAGGUAAUGGCUCACCAAGGCGACGACGGGUACCCGGCCUGAGAGGGUGACUGGCCACACUGGGACUGAGACACGGCCCAGACUCCUACGGGAGGCAGCAGUGGGGAAUAUUGCACAAUGGGCGAAAGCCUGAUGCAGCAACGCCGCGUGAGGGAUGAAGGCCUUCGGGUUGUAAACCUCUUUUAGCAGGGAAGAAGCGAAAGUGACGGUACCUGCAGAAAAAGCACCGGCUAACUACGUGCCAGCAGCCGCCGUAA
This 483-nucleotide ribosomal RNA is filed under the name uncultured bacterium. RNAcentral describes it as "partial 16S ribosomal RNA". It matches the Rfam family "Bacterial small subunit ribosomal RNA", at positions 28 to 523 of the family's 1533-position model. The record is from RNAcentral.